This 503-nucleotide ribosomal RNA is filed under the name uncultured bacterium. Its description in RNAcentral is "partial 16S ribosomal RNA". It matches the Rfam family "Bacterial small subunit ribosomal RNA", at positions 30 to 523 of the family's 1533-position model. The record is from RNAcentral.
AUUGAACGCUGGCGGCAGGCUUAACACAUGCAAGUCGAGCGGGGUGAUGGUGCUUGCACUAUCACUUAGCGGCGGACGGGUGAGUAAUGCUUAGGAAUCUGCCUAUUAGUGGGGGACAACAUCUCGAAAGGGAUGCUAAUACCGCAUACGUCCUACGGGAGAAAGCAGGGGAUCACUUGUGACCUUGCGGUAAUAGAUGAACCUAAAUCGGAUUAGCUAGUUGGUGGGGUAAAGGCCUACCAAGGCGACGAUCUUUAGCGGGUCUGAGAGGAUGAUCCGCCACACUGGGACUGAGACACGGCCCAGACUCCUACGGGAGGCAGCAGUGGGGAAUAUUGGACAAUGGGGGGAACCCUGAUCCAGCCAUGCCGCGUGUGUGAAGAAGGCCUUAUGGUUGUAAAGCACUUUAAGCGAGGAGGAGGCUCUUUUGGUUAAUACCCAAGAUGAGUGGACGUUACUCGCAGAAUAAGCACCGGCUAACUCUGUGCCAGCAGCCGCGGUAA